Molecule: ribosomal RNA, 527 nt
Filed under: uncultured bacterium
Lineage: Bacteria
Description: bacterial SSU rRNA
Rfam family: Bacterial small subunit ribosomal RNA
Source: RNAcentral
AAUAGAUACCCGGGUAGUCCACGCCGUAAACGAUGAGUGCUAGGUGUUAGGGGGUCCAACCCUUAGGUGCCGGAAGUUAACACAUUAAGCACUCCGCCUGGGGAGUACGGUCGCAAGACUGAAACUCAAAGGAAUUGACGGGGGCCCGCACAAGCGGUGGAGCAUGUGGUUUAAUUCGAAGCAACGCGAAGAACCUUACCAGGGCUUGACAUCCCUCUGACCGUUCUAGAGAUAGAGCUUCCCUUCGGGGCAGAGGUGACAGGUGGUGCAUGGUUGUCGUCAGCUCGUGUCGUGAGAUGUUGGGUUAAGUCCCGCAACGAGCGCAACCCUUGUCCUUAGUUGCCAGCAUUCAGUUGGGCACUCUAGGGAGACUGCCGGUGACAAACCGGAGGAAGGUGGGGAUGACGUCAAAUCAUCAUGCCCCUUAUGUCCUGGGCUACACACGUGCUACAAUGGCUGGUACAAAGGGUAGCGAAGCAGUGAUGUGGAGCCAAUCCCAAAAAGCCAGUCACAGUUCGGAUUGUAGG